Molecule: ribosomal RNA, 253 nt
Filed under: uncultured bacterium
Lineage: Bacteria
Description: partial 16S ribosomal RNA
Rfam family: Bacterial small subunit ribosomal RNA
Source: RNAcentral
UACGGGGGGAGCAAGCGUUGUUCGGAUUUACUGGGCGUAAAGGGCGCGUAGGCGGCGCGACAAGUCACUUGUGAAAUCUCCGGGCUUAACCCGGAGCGGCCAAGUGAUACUGUAGUGCUAGAGUGCGGAAGGGGCUACUGGAAUUCUCGGUGUAGCGGUGAAAUGCGUAGAUAUCGAGAGGAACACCUGCGGCGAAGGCGGGUCGCUGGGCCGACACUGACGCUGAGGCGCGAAAGCCAGGGGAGCGAACGGG